AUGCUGCUGUCACCUCUGAUGAUUCCCAGGUGUUUACCUCCAGCCCCAACCUAUAUUUGAAGGAGCUGAUUUAAAUAUUCAACUGCCAGGUGUCAUCUACUCUGGGUGUUUACCUGUCAAUAAUAACAAGCCUGCGCUGGAUCCCAGAGAACCAGGCCAUCAUUAUUAAUUUCACACUGCAAAUAGAGGUUUUGGACUACGCAAGUGGAAUCAAAUCUUGGUGACUGACGAAGGAGCAGAGGAAUAUUGCUGUCAAGAAGAGAGAGAGAGUGAGCACAAGCAGGGAGAGGGGGAAGCAGACU
Long non-coding RNA from Canis lupus familiaris (dog), 302 nucleotides. RefSeq lists it as uncharacterized. NCBI's taxonomy places the organism in Eukaryota, Metazoa, Chordata, Mammalia, Carnivora, Canidae. The transcript is spliced from 4 exons. The record is from RefSeq and is a predicted model, not a curated record.